CGAAGUAGCAAUACUUAGUGGCAGACGGGUGAGUAACAUGUGGGUAUCUUCCCUUUGGUGAGGAAUAACACGAGGAAACUUGUGCUAAUACCUCAUAAGUCUUUACGGAGAAAGCUUUAUGCGCCAAUGGAUGAGCCCGCACUUGAUUAGUUUGUUGGUGGGGUAAUGGCCUACCAAGACUUUUAUCAAUAGCUGAUCUGAGAGGAUGAUCAGCCACACUGGGACUGAGACACGGCCCAAACUCCUACGGGAGGCAGCAGUAGGGAAUAUUGCACAAUGGAGGAAACUCUGAUGCAGCGAUGCCGCGUGAGUGAAGAAGGCCCUUGGGUUGUAAAGCUCUUUCGUCGGGGAAGAAAAUGACUGUACCCGAAUAAGAAGGUCCGGCUAACUUCGUGCCAGCAGCCGCGGUAAUACGAAGGGACCUAGCGUAGUUCGGAAUUACUGGGCUUAAAGAGUUCGUAGGUGGUUAAAAUAGUUGGUUGUGAAAUCCCGAAGCUUAACUUCGGAACUGCAAUCAAAACUUUUUAGCUAGAGUAUGAUAGAGGAAAGCAGAAUUUCUAGUGUAGAGGUGAAAUUCGUAGAUAUUAGAAAGAAUACCAAUUGCGAAGGCAGCUUUCUGGAUCAUUACUGACACUGAGGAACGAAAGCAUGGGUAGCGAAGAGGAUUAGAU
This 671-nucleotide ribosomal RNA is filed under the name uncultured Alphaproteobacteria bacterium. Its description in RNAcentral is "bacterial SSU rRNA". It matches the Rfam family "Bacterial small subunit ribosomal RNA", at positions 67 to 783 of the family's 1533-position model. Lineage: Bacteria; Pseudomonadati; Pseudomonadota; Alphaproteobacteria. The record is from RNAcentral.